UUCUAGUUAACUCAGUUGGUGGAGUGCUCCAAUGGGAUUGGGGACGUCCCUGGUUGAAUACCAGGACCAUGCG
RNAcentral lists this transfer RNA (73 nucleotides) under Ixodes scapularis (black-legged tick). RNAcentral describes it as "tRNA-Pro". Lineage: Eukaryota; Metazoa; Arthropoda; Arachnida; Ixodida; Ixodidae. The record is from RNAcentral.